Molecule: long non-coding RNA, 1144 nt
Filed under: Mus musculus (house mouse)
Lineage: Eukaryota; Metazoa; Chordata; Mammalia; Rodentia; Muridae
Description: predicted gene, 41138
Source: RNAcentral
AGAACCAAUUGGUUUCACAGGCAAGCAUGUUGUCCAUGCAGCUCACGCUAUUUUGGAGGGAAAAUACAAUACACACAGAGACCAGACUUUGGAGGAAUGAGGCCGGCCUUCUGUCAUCUUGGGAAAUGGUAAGAAAGAAAUGGUCCUGGAGAAGGCACAGUAUGUCCUGGGCAAAGGUUGGGGAGCUACAUUGAGGACGUGGGCUUGAGCUGGUCCUUUCAGGAAUAGAGCUUAUGAUUUGGAUCCUCAAAACUCUUCAAUCGCAGACCCAGAAACAAGAAUUUAUGAUGAUUAGUUUGCCGAGAGCCAGGAAUUGAGAAACCUGUACUUACUUUGUUGAGAAAUUUUAAUAUCAUCCCAAGUGGCAAAAAUAUGCCCGGAGGAAGCUCUGGGAGGAUAACAGAGUGUUGCUCUCAGGAUAGAGUGUUGAAGUACUUCUUCCUGUUAGAUUUUCCAGAAGGUUAUAUGAGGAUGUGAUGGCAAGAAUAGAGUGGGCUAUUCACCCUGCUCAUGAAUCAAGGUCUCUGACACUUUGGCAUUGAACACACAAGAUGUGGACUGAUUCACAGUCUGAGGGAUUCUCUGUGACUCUAGAUUUUCCUCUUCCUGAGACUUCUGUGUGGGACAAAGCAUGUUGUCUCCAUUCCCUGCCCUAUUAUCUCUACGAGUUUACUAGUGUUGGUCAACCUACAUGGUCUGUUGGAAAGGCAUCACCCCAAGCCUCCACCACCAAUAAGCAGGAUCAGAGAAUGAAGAGGAUGGAGAAGCUCAAAAGGGAUCUCCAGAAGAUCAAAAAUGGGAGAGACAACUCCAGGGAAUCCUAGUCAAUUACACUAACAAGGAUUUGAACAACAGAUGUGCCAUCACAGGUCUAUAAGGAUGACAAACAGAACUCUCCAGUGGAAUGGGAACACUCUGGCCGUACAGUCUUAUUCUGACAAAGGCUCGAGAAUUCAAGAUUACGAACCAUAAAACUAGAGCAAAUCUGUGUGUAGGACACUAUUGGCUCAUCAAGCCUGGGAUGCACCAGGGCAUACAGUAGGCACAUAUUUGUUGUAAGGAAUCCCUACAGGAAUGAGAAGACAUGAUGAAGACGCCAAGAUCAUCCCUCUAAAAAUAAGAACUGAGAAUGUUAACUCGUCAA